GCUGGGCUGGCGGCAACUGGAAAGUGAACUGGUACCAGUUCAAGCUGGGCUGGUGGCAAGUGGGCACUGUGUGCAACCAGUUUAACCUGGGAUGGCGGCAACUGGAAAGUGAACUGGUACCAGUUCAAGCUGGACUGGUAGCAACUGGAAGUGAGGUGCCAGUUUGAACUGGACCAGUUUACAUAUUUGGGGGAAGUUUCGGUUUCAGUCCCAGGACAGGUUAAUAUGAAGAUUGCAAGAUGAAGUUAUAAAAACGAUCAGAAAGUAACUUGAUUAGUUGAAAUAAUCAUAUUUCAAGUUUUGGUAAAGUUCUUUAGUGUUAACGAAAGUUAUUUUGGAACUCUUAUAGUUGUAUUUUAUGCGUUCCUGCUCCCGCGAUGAAUCAUGCGUUUACUGUGCAACGGUCGCUUGCUUAGCAGCAUGCUUGUACAGCGAUUAUUGCCCGGUAUGUUCUUAGCGUGAUGUGUGACAUAUAGGCGUUGGUUUUAUAAUCUAAAGGAUUUUUCUGCAAGUUACGACAGUGCGACAGUACAAUGAGCGCCAGCGGCCGGGCGGGUGGGUGUUAUAGGAUUACAGCUCGACUACAGCUGUGGAGACCGCUUUAUAUCAAACCUUAGCUGCUGGCUGCUGGGGCUCAAAGGAAAAUAUCGAUGCAUCGUGUGCUAUUAAGAACAUCUCAAAUACUUUGUUGAAUGGUUCAAGAUGUCCACAAGGCAGUCAAGCAAGGGACCAAUCAACCAUGAAGUAUUAUCUAUUCCAUGUAACUCUGUAGUUCAUCUACUGCUAUAAUUUAAUUAUGUUAUAGUUACGCUACAUGUACAUUAGAAUAUGUGUAAUGUUUGACUACAAAUAAAAUGCAAUUUUGCAUUGCA
This is a long non-coding RNA of Ornithodoros turicata, 872 nucleotides long. RefSeq lists it as uncharacterized. NCBI's taxonomy places the organism in Eukaryota, Metazoa, Arthropoda, Arachnida, Ixodida, Argasidae. The record is from RefSeq and is a predicted model, not a curated record. The transcript has 2 exons.